Molecule: non-coding RNA, 73 nt
Organism: Pangasius djambal
Lineage: Eukaryota; Metazoa; Chordata; Actinopteri; Siluriformes; Pangasiidae
Source: the annotation of a GenBank genome assembly
UCCCUGCUAGUCUAGCAGCUAAGGAUCCUGUGCUCUCACCACCGUGGCCCAGGUUCAAUUCCUGGCCAGGGAA